This 406-nucleotide ribosomal RNA is filed under the name uncultured bacterium. RNAcentral describes it as "partial 16S ribosomal RNA". It matches the Rfam family "Bacterial small subunit ribosomal RNA", at positions 30 to 526 of the family's 1533-position model. The record is from RNAcentral.
AUUGAACGCUGGCGGCAGGCCUAACACAUGCAAGUCGAGCGAGCGGCGGACGGGUGAGUAAUGUAUGGGGAUCUGCCCGAUAGAGGGGGAUAACUACUGGCAACAGUAGCUAAUACCGCAUACCAUCAGAUGAACCCAUAGGGGAUUAGCUGGUAGGUAAGGUAACGGCUUACCUAGGCGACGAUCCCUAGCUGGGCUGAGAGGAUGAUCAGCCAAACUGGGACUGAGACACGGCCCGGACUCCUACGGGAGGCAGCAGUGGGGAAUAUUGCACAAUGGGCGCAAGCCUGAUGCAGCCAUGCCGCGUGUAUGAAGAAGGCCUUCGGGUUGUAAAGUACUUUCAGUCGGGAGGCGUUACCGACAGAAGAAGCACCGGCUAACUCCGUGCCAGCAGCCGCGGUAAUAC